This 465-nucleotide ribosomal RNA is filed under the name Vreelandella stevensii. Its description in RNAcentral is "partial 16S ribosomal RNA". It matches the Rfam family "Bacterial small subunit ribosomal RNA", at positions 338 to 795 of the family's 1533-position model. Lineage: Bacteria; Pseudomonadati; Pseudomonadota; Gammaproteobacteria; Oceanospirillales; Halomonadaceae. The record is from RNAcentral.
CCUACGGGAGGCUGCAGUGGGGAAUAUUGGACAAUGGGGGAAACCCUGAUCCAGCCAUGCCGCGUGUGUGAAGAAGGCCCUCGGGUUGUAAAGCACUUUCAGUGAGGAAGAACGCCUGGUGGUUAAUACCCAUCAGGAAAGACAUCACUCACAGAAGAAGCACCGGCUAACUCCGUGCCAGCAGCCGCGGUAAUACGGAGGGUGCGAGCGUUAAUCGGAAUUACUGGGCGUAAAGCGCGCGUAGGUGGCUUGAUAAGCCGGUUGUGAAAGCCCCGGGCUCAACCUGGGAACGGCAUCCGGAACUGUCAAGCUAGAGUGCAGGAGAGGAAGGUAGAAUUCCCGGUGUAGCGGUGAAAUGCGUAGAGAUCGGGAGGAAUACCAGUGGCGAAGGCGGCCUUCUGGACUGACACUGACACUGAGGUGCGAAAGCGUGGGUAGCAAACAGGAUUAGAUACCCGAGUAGUC